CGCAUAGUCGACAUCAUCUUCUCCUCCACGAGCAACCGACCACGUUGAAGGAGGACAAGAAGUUGUAAACCAAGUAGAGUUGGAUGCCAUUUCUCAUAGCAAAUAAUUGACUCUAAUUCUAAGUGCACAAACAUUAGAAGAUGCAAGCUUGCUCAGUUGCUGAUUUGGAGUCUUCUUGUUUAUAGUUUUGGAUUUCUAGUUUGCUCGAGUUGAUGUAUUGAUGUAUUUGAUCUUGCUCAGUUGAUGAUUUGAGUUUUUUAUGAUGUAUCUUCAGAUCAGUUCAUCCAUUGUAUAAUUUUGGAUUUCAAGUUUUUGAUGAUGUAUUCUCAAACUUGUUAUAGUUUUGGAUUUCAAGUUUUUAAUGAAGAAUUGAAAUGCAAUUUUUGCUA
Molecule: long non-coding RNA, 389 nt
Organism: Carya illinoinensis
Lineage: Eukaryota; Viridiplantae; Streptophyta; Magnoliopsida; Fagales; Juglandaceae
Exons: 2
Source: RefSeq, a predicted model, not a curated record